AAUCAACGCUGGCGGCGUGCCUAACACAUGCAAGUCGAACGAGAAAGGGGACUUCGGUCCCUGAGUACAGUGGCGCACGGGUGAGUAACACGUGACUUAUCUACCCUCGAGUGGGGAAUAAACUUCGGGAAACCGAGGCUAAUACCGCAUAAUACCCACGGGUCAAAGGAGCAAUUCGCUUGAGGAGGAGGUCGCGGCCGAUUAGUUAGUUGGCGGGGUAAUGGCCCACCCAAGACGGUGAUCGGCAUCCGGCCUGAGAGGGCGCACGGACACACUGGAACUGAAACACGGUCCAGACUCCUACGGGAGGCAGCAGUGGGGAAUUUUGCGCAAUGGGGGAAACCCUGACGCAGCAACGCCGCGUGGAGGAUGAAGUCUCUUGGGACGUAAACUCCUUUCGAUCGGGACGAUUAUGACGGUACCGGAAGAAGAAGCCCCGGCUAACUUCGUG
RNAcentral lists this ribosomal RNA (451 nucleotides) under uncultured bacterium. RNAcentral's name for it is "bacterial SSU rRNA". It matches the Rfam family "Bacterial small subunit ribosomal RNA", at positions 32 to 507 of the family's 1533-position model. The record is from RNAcentral.